UUGGCCACCGGGUCGACCUCGCGGGUCACCACCAAGUACUCGCGCAGGGCGAUGGCGUGCAGGUGCUC
RNAcentral lists this small RNA (68 nucleotides) under Mycobacterium sp. 1423905.2. Its description in RNAcentral is "ASdes TB sRNA". It matches the Rfam family "ASdes TB sRNA". Lineage: Bacteria; Bacillati; Actinomycetota; Actinomycetes; Mycobacteriales; Mycobacteriaceae. The record is from Rfam by way of RNAcentral.